GACGGAGGCUGCAAGUGUUAUCCGGAAUCACUGGGCGUAAAGCGUCUGUAGGUGGUCAAAUAAGUCAACUGUUAAAUCUUGAGGCUCAACCUCAAAAUCGCAGUCGAAACUAUUAGACUAGAGUAUAGUAGGGGUAAAGGGAAUUUCCAGUGGAGCGGUGAAAUGCGUAGAGAUUGGAAAGAACACCGAUGGCGAAGGCACUUUACUGGGCUAUUACUAACACUCAGAGACGAAAGCUAGGGUAGCAAAUGGG
Molecule: ribosomal RNA, 253 nt
Filed under: uncultured bacterium
Lineage: Bacteria
Description: partial 16S ribosomal RNA
Rfam family: Bacterial small subunit ribosomal RNA
Source: RNAcentral